GAUGAACGCUGGCGGCGUGCUUAACACAUGCAAGUCGAGCGAGAAGGUUUGAAAAGAGUCUGCUGAUGAAAUGGAAAAUGGAAAGCGGCGGACGGGGGAGUAACGCGUAGGCAACCGGCCCCAUACAAAGGGAUAGCAUUUGGAAACGAAUAUUAAUACCGUAUGAAACUUAACGAGUGCAUGCUAGGGAGGUCAAAGAUGCAUCGGUUGGUGAUGGGCCUGCGUCUGAGGAGCUAGCUGGUGGGGUAGCGGCUUACUAAGCCGGCGGUCGGUAGCCGGCCGGACAGGGUGACUGGCCACAUAGGUACUGAGUGAGGGCCCAGACUCCUUCGUGCGGCAGCAGGCAGUAAUAUUUAAUAAUGGACGGAAGCCUGAUUCAUGAAGCCCGCGUGCGUGAUCGAUGCCUGCGUUUGGUAAGCCGCUUUCGCUUGUAACGAAGCGUGAGUGACGGUAACCGGUAAAGAAGCACCGGCUAACUACGUG
This 483-nucleotide ribosomal RNA is filed under the name uncultured bacterium. Its description in RNAcentral is "partial 16S ribosomal RNA". It matches the Rfam family "Bacterial small subunit ribosomal RNA", at positions 28 to 507 of the family's 1533-position model. The record is from RNAcentral.